RNAcentral lists this unclassified non-coding RNA (363 nucleotides) under uncultured bacterium. RNAcentral's name for it is "contains 16S-23S intergenic spacer region". The record is from RNAcentral.
UCCCCGUUACCGGGGCAGUCUGACUAGAAAAAUACAACUAAUCAUAAGGGUUGCGCUCGUUGAAGGACUUAACCUAACAUCUCACGACACGAGCUGACGACGGCCAUGCAACACCUGUCACUUGGUUCCCGAAGGCACUCUCGGCUUUCGCCAAAAUUCCAAGGAUGUCAAACCCUGGUAAGGUUCUACGCUUAACAUCGUAUUAAACAACACGCUCCACCGCUUGUGCGGGUCCCCGUCAAUUCCUUUGAGUUUUAAUCUUGCGACCGUACUCCCCAGGCGGGAUGCUUAACGCGUUAGCUUCGCUACUGAACGGGUCGAUACGUCCAACAGCUAGCAUCCAUCGUUUACGGCGUGGACUAC